RNAcentral lists this ribosomal RNA (253 nucleotides) under uncultured bacterium. RNAcentral describes it as "partial 16S ribosomal RNA". It matches the Rfam family "Bacterial small subunit ribosomal RNA", at positions 524 to 776 of the family's 1533-position model. The record is from RNAcentral.
AACGUAGGGGGCUAGCGUUGUCCGGAUUUAUUGGGCGUAAAGAGCGUGUAGGCGGCCUGACAGGUCUGCUGUGAAAACUCGAGGCUCAACCUCGAGAUGUCGGCGGAAACCGUCUGGCUAGAGUCCGGAAGAGGAGAGUGGAAUUCCUGGUGUAGCGGUGAAAUGCGCAGAUAUCAGGAAGAACACCUAUGGCGAAGGCAGCUCUCUGGGACGGUACUGACGCUGAUGCGCGAAAGCGUGGGGAGCAAACGGG